This 353-nucleotide ribosomal RNA is filed under the name uncultured bacterium. RNAcentral describes it as "bacterial SSU rRNA". It matches the Rfam family "Bacterial small subunit ribosomal RNA", at positions 29 to 407 of the family's 1533-position model. The record is from RNAcentral.
AACGAACGCUGGCGGCAUGCCUAACACAUGCAAGUCGAGCGCCCGUAGCAAUACGGGAGCGGCGCACGGGUGAGUAACGCGUGGGAACCUGCCCAGAGGUCUGGGACAACCGCGGGAAACUGCGGCUGAUACCGGAUGAUUCCUGAGGGACAAAGAUUUAUCGCCUUUGGAGGGGCCCGCGUCGGAUUAGGUAGUUGGUGGGGUAACGGCUCACCAAGCCUAUGAUCCGUAACUGGUCUGAGAGGAUGACCAGUCACACUGGGACUGAGACACGGCCCAGACUCCUACGGGAGGCAGCAGUGGGGAGUAUUGGACAAUGGGGGCAACCCUGAUCCAGCAAUGCCGCGUGGGUG